RNAcentral lists this ribosomal RNA (528 nucleotides) under uncultured bacterium. RNAcentral's name for it is "bacterial SSU rRNA". It matches the Rfam family "Bacterial small subunit ribosomal RNA", at positions 981 to 1509 of the family's 1533-position model. The record is from RNAcentral.
UUGACAUCCAGAGAAUUUAGCAGAGAUGCUUUAGUGCCUUCGGGAACUCUGAGACAGGUGCUGCAUGGCUGUCGUCAGCUCGUGUUGUGAAAUGUUGGGUUAAGUCCGCAACGAGCGCAACCCUUAUCCUUUGUUGCCAGCACGUAACGGUGGGAACUCAAAGGAGACUGCCGGUGAUAAACCGGAGGAAGGUGGGGAUGACGUCAAGUCAUCAUGGCCCUUACGAGUAGGGCUACACACGUGCUACAAUGGCGCAUACAAAGAGAAGCGACCUCGCGAGAGCAAGCGGACCUCAUAAAGUGCGUCGUAGUCCGGAUUGGAGUCUGCAACUCGACUCCAUGAAGUCGGAAUCGCUAGUAAUCGUAAAUCAGAAUGUUACGGUGAAUACGUUCCCGGGCCUUGUACACACCGCCCGUCACACCAUGGGAGUGGGUUGCAAAAGAAGUAGAUAGCUUAACCUUCGGGAGGGCGUUUACCACUUUGUGAUUCAUGACUGGGGUGAAGUCGUAACAAGGUAGGCGUAGUGCU